RNAcentral lists this ribosomal RNA (250 nucleotides) under uncultured bacterium. RNAcentral describes it as "partial 16S ribosomal RNA". It matches the Rfam family "Bacterial small subunit ribosomal RNA", at positions 83 to 334 of the family's 1533-position model. The record is from RNAcentral.
UUUAGAUGGCGACCGGCGCACGGGUGAGUAACGCGUAUCCAACCUGCCGAUAACUCGGGGAUAGCCUUUCGAAAGAAAGAUUAAUACCCGAUGGCAUAAUAGAACCGCAUGGUUUGAUUAUUAAAGAAUUUCGGUUAUCGAUGGGGAUGCGUUCCAUUAGGCAGUUGGUGGGGUAGCGGCCCACCAAACCUUCGAUGGAUAGGGGUUCUGAGAGGAAGGUCCCCCACAUUGGAACUGAGACACGGUCCAA